GACGAACCGUGCGAACGUUAUUCGGAAUCACUGGGCUUAAAGCGCGUGUAGGCGGGUUGCCACGUCGGAUGUUGAAAUCCCCCGGCUCAACCGGGGAACAGGCACCGAUACGAGCAGCCUGGAGGGGAGUAGGGGGACCUGGAACUUCCGGUGGAGCGGUGAAAUGCGUUGAGAUCGGAAGGAACGCCCGUGGCGAAAGCGAGGUCCUGGGCUCUUACUGACGCUGAGACGCGAAAGCCAGGGGAGCAAACGGG
Molecule: ribosomal RNA, 254 nt
Filed under: uncultured bacterium
Lineage: Bacteria
Description: partial 16S ribosomal RNA
Rfam family: Bacterial small subunit ribosomal RNA
Source: RNAcentral